RNAcentral lists this ribosomal RNA (481 nucleotides) under uncultured bacterium. RNAcentral's name for it is "partial 16S ribosomal RNA". It matches the Rfam family "Bacterial small subunit ribosomal RNA", at positions 28 to 507 of the family's 1533-position model. The record is from RNAcentral.
GAUGAACGCUGGCGGCGUGCUUAACACAUGCAAGUCGAACGAAGCACUUUAUUUGAUUUCCUUCGGGACUGAUUAUUUUGUGACUGAGUGGCGGACGGGUGAGUAACGCGUGGGUAACCUGCCUUGUACAGGGGGAUAACAGUUGGAAACGGCUGCUAAUACCGCAUAAGCGCACAGCAUCGCAUGAUGCAGUGUGAAAAACUCCGGUGGUAUAAGAUGGACCCGCGUUGGAUUAGCUAGUUGGUGAGGUAACGGCCCACCAAGGCGACGAUCCAUAGCCGGCCUGAGAGAGUGACCGGCCACAUUGGGACUAGGACACAGCACAGACUCCUACGGGAGGCAGCAGUGGGGAAUAUUGCACAAUGGGCGAAAGCCUGAUGCAGCGACGCCGCGUAAGCGAAGAAGUAUUGCGAUAUGUAAAGCUCUAUCAGCAGGGAAGAUAAUGACGGUACCUGACGAAGAAGCACCGGCUAAAUACGUG